UCCACUGUAGUAGAGCUGCUAAGGCUUUUCUGAUGUUGACUUGUCUCGGCUGGAUACAGUGGUCAAGUUGCAUUGGGGGGCUGGACCUCUCUAUAGACAUGAGAUGUUGUAGGGUAAAGGUGGGGUUGGGCACCAAUAACUGUUAGGUGAGGACCCAAUGACGACUUUAUUCCUACGGUUAUACGGUGGGUCUGACUUAACUAAGAAAUGGGACCAAUAACUGUUAGGUGAGGUCUUCAUGGCUUAGAGACCAAGUUGCACUGCAACAUGCUUGAGAAGCAUUGUACAAGAGUUGUACACUCAUCCAUCUAUGUGUCACCAAUAACUGUUAGGUGAGGUGGCAUGUAAAUUGGUGGGACCGCAGUACCCACUAGAAACCCUAGUCGUGUGGGAUUUCUGUUUCCCUACCAGGGGAGUGUGAGGAAUUCGAGAAAAUAGUGGGAGUUACAUUUGUUCUAAAAGACCUUAGAACAGAUUAGGAUCAAGUACAAAAGUCUAACUAGAAUCUUUACUCUCUGAGGAUUAUAAAGUCAGCUUCUAGACUCUUAACUCAUAUCCUAUAGAACAAUCGUUUG
This 575-nucleotide long non-coding RNA is filed under the name Phoenix dactylifera (date palm). RNAcentral's name for it is "long non-coding RNA (PDAC_LNC021241)". The record is from RNAcentral. Lineage: Eukaryota; Viridiplantae; Streptophyta; Magnoliopsida; Arecales; Arecaceae.